GUAGCUUGCUACAUUACCUAGCGGCGGACGGGUGAGUAAUGCUUAGGAAUCUGCCUAUUAGUGGGGGACAACAUUCCGAAAGGAAUGCUAAUACCGCAUACGCCCUACGGGGGAAAGCAGGGGAUCUUCGGACCUUGCGCUAAUAGAUGAGCCUAAGUCAGAUUAGCUAGUUGGUGGGGUAAAGGCCUACCAAGGCGACGAUCUGUAGCGGGUCUGAGAGGAUGAUCCGCCACACUGGGACUGAGACACGGCCCAGACUCCUACGGGAGGCAGCAGUGGGGAAUAUUGGACAAUGGGCGAAAGCCUGAUCCAGCCAUGCCGCGUGUGUGAAGAAGGCCUUUUGGUUGUAAAGCACUUUAAGCGAGGAGGAGGCUACUUGGAUUAAUACUCUAGGAUAGUGGACGUUACUCGCAGAAUAAGCACCGGCUAACUCUGUGCCAGCAGCCGCGGUAAUACAGAGGGUGCGAGCGUUAAUCGGAUUUACUGGGCGUAAAGCGUGCGUAGGCGGCUUUUUAAGUCGGAUGUGAAAUCCCUGAGCUUAACUUAGGAAUUGCAUUCGAUACUGGGAAG
Molecule: ribosomal RNA, 570 nt
Filed under: bacterium RBM-C13
Lineage: Bacteria
Description: bacterial SSU rRNA
Rfam family: Bacterial small subunit ribosomal RNA
Source: RNAcentral